AGUGAACGCUGGCGGCGUGCUUAACACAUGCAAGUCGAACGAGAACGGGGUAUAGCUUGCUAUAAUUGUCAGCUAAGUGGCGCACGGGUGAGUAAUGUAUAGGUAAUAUGCCUCUUACUAAGGGAUAACAAAUGGAAACGUUUGCUAAUACCUUAUACUCCUUAUUAACAUAAGUUAAUAAGGGAAAGAUUUAUUGGUAAGAGAUUAGCCUGUAUUGUAUCAGUUAGUUGUUGGGGUAAUGGCUUACCAAGACUAUGACACAUAACUGGUUUGAGAGGAUGAUCAGUCACACUGGAACUGAGACACGGUCCAGACUCCUACGGGAGGCAGCAGUGGGGAAUAUUGCACAAUGGACGAAAGUCUGAUGCAGCAACGCCGCGUGGAGGGUGACACAUUUCGGUGCGUAAACUCCUUUUAUAUGAGAAGAUAAUGACGGUAUUAUAUGAAUAAGCACCAGCUAACUCCGUGCCAGCAGCCGCAGUAA
RNAcentral lists this ribosomal RNA (484 nucleotides) under uncultured bacterium. RNAcentral describes it as "partial 16S ribosomal RNA". It matches the Rfam family "Bacterial small subunit ribosomal RNA", at positions 29 to 523 of the family's 1533-position model. The record is from RNAcentral.